Molecule: ribosomal RNA, 209 nt
Filed under: uncultured bacterium
Lineage: Bacteria
Description: partial 16S ribosomal RNA
Rfam family: Bacterial small subunit ribosomal RNA
Source: RNAcentral
UGGGGAUAAUAUUCCGAAAGGAAUGCUAAUACCGCAUGACAUCCUGCUUUUUAAGAGGUGGAGAUCAAAGCUGGGGACCGCAAGGCCUGGCGCUUGAAGAGGGGCCCGCGUCUGAUUAGCUAGUUGGUGGGGUAAUGGCUCACCAAGGCAUCGAUCAGUAUCCGGCCUGAGAGGGCGGACGGACACACUGGGACUGAGACACGGCCCAG